This 1372-nucleotide ribosomal RNA is filed under the name uncultured bacterium. Its description in RNAcentral is "bacterial SSU rRNA". It matches the Rfam family "Bacterial small subunit ribosomal RNA", at positions 28 to 1381 of the family's 1533-position model. The record is from RNAcentral.
GAUGAACGCUGGCGGCGUGCCUAAUACAUGCAAGUCGAGCGAACGGACGAGAAGCUUGCUUCUCUGAUGUUAGCGGCGGACGGGUGAGUAACACGUGGAUAACCUACCUAUAAGACUGGGAUAACUUCGGGAAACCGGAGCUAAUACCGGAUAAUAUUUUGAACCGCAUGGUUCAAAAGUGAAAGACGGUCUUGCUGUCACUUAUAGAUGGAUCCGCGCUGCAUUAGCUAGUUGGUAAGGUAACGGCUUACCAAGGCAACGAUGCAUAGCCGACCUGAGAGGGUGAUCGGCCACACUGGAACUGAGACACGGUCCAGACUCCUACGGGAGGCAGCAGUAGGGAAUCUUCCGCAAUGGGCGAAAGCCUGACGGAGCAACGCCGCGUGAGUGAUGAAGGUCUUCGGAUCGUAAAACUCUGUUAUUAGGGAAGAACAUAUGUGUAAGUAACUGUGCACAUCUUGACGGUACCUAAUCAGAAAGCCACGGCUAACUACGUGCCAGCAGCCGCGGUAAUACGUAGGUGGCAAGCGUUAUCCGGAAUUAUUGGGCGUAAAGCGCGCGUAGGCGGUUUUUUAAGUCUGAUGUGAAAGCCCACGGCUCAACCGUGGAGGGUCAUUGGAAACUGGAAAACUUGAGUGCAGAAGAGGAAAGUGGAAUUCCAUGUGUAGCGGUGAAAUGCGCAGAGAUAUGGAGGAACACCAGUGGCGAAGGCGACUUUCUGGUCUGUAACUGACGCUGAUGUGCGAAAGCGUGGGGAUCAAACAGGAUUAGAUACCCUGGUAGUCCACGCCGUAAACGAUGAGUGCUAAGUGUUAGGGGGUUUCCGCCCCUUAGUGCUGCAGCUAACGCAUUAAGCACUCCGCCUGGGGAGUACGACCGCAAGGUUGAAACUCAAAGGAAUUGACGGGGACCCGCACAAGCGGUGGAGCAUGUGGUCUAAUUCGAAGCAACGCGAAGAACCUUACCAAAUCUUGACAUCCUUUGACAACUCUAGAGAUAGAGCCUUCCCCUUCGGGGGACAAAGUGACAGGUGGUGCAUGGUUGUCGUCAGCUCGUGUCGUGAGGUGUUGGGUUAAGUCCCGCAACGAGCGCAACCCUUAAGCUUAGUUGCCAUCAUUAAGUUGGGCACUCUAAGUUGACUGCCGGUGACAAACCGGAGGAAGGUGGGGAUGACGUCAAAUCAUCAUGCCCCUUAUGAUUUGGGCUACACACGUGCUACAAUGGACAAUACAAAGGGCAGCGAAACCGCGAGGUCAAGCAAAUCCCAUAAAGUUGUUCUCAGUUCGGAUUGUAGUCUGCAACUCGACUACAUGAAGCUGGAAUCGCUAGUAAUCGUAGAUCAGCAUGCUACGGUGAAUACGUUCCCGGGUCU